RNAcentral lists this ribosomal RNA (379 nucleotides) under uncultured cyanobacterium. RNAcentral's name for it is "bacterial SSU rRNA". It matches the Rfam family "Bacterial small subunit ribosomal RNA", at positions 376 to 770 of the family's 1533-position model. Lineage: Bacteria; Bacillati; Cyanobacteriota. The record is from RNAcentral.
CGAAAGCCUGACGGAGCAAUACCGCGUGAGGGAGGAAAGCCUUUGGGUUGUAAACCUCUUUUCUCAGGGAAGAAGAUCUGACGGUACCUGAGGAAUAAGCAUCGGCUAACUCCGUGCCAGCAGCCGCGGUAAUACGGAGGAUGCAAGCGUUAUCCGGAAUUAUUGGGCGUAAAGCGUCCGCAGAUGGUUAUUCAAGUCUGCUGUCAAAGACCAGAGCUUAACUCUGGAAAGGCAGUGGAAACUGAAAAACUAGAGUCCGGUAGGGGUAGCGGGAAUUCCCAGUGUAGCGGUGAAAUGCGUAGAUAUUGGGAAGAACAUCGGUGGCGAAGGCGCGCUACUGGGCCGGGACUGACACUCAGGGACGAAAGCUAGGGGAGCG